RNAcentral lists this long non-coding RNA (1985 nucleotides) under Sorghum bicolor (sorghum). RNAcentral describes it as "long non-coding RNA (SBIC_LNC005970)". The record is from RNAcentral. Lineage: Eukaryota; Viridiplantae; Streptophyta; Magnoliopsida; Poales; Poaceae.
UCCCUUCUUAUCUCCUCCCCGGUUCAUCUCUACAUGAUGUUGUUAUGUGAAAAAUGAAAUUACCAAAUAAUGUUUGUGAAUGUAGAUAUGCCUCCUUGCUACUAUCACCUGAUUGCUGUUGCAUUCAGUUGGAAUGAAGUUAUGACUAUUGCUUCGGAUCAGAUUCACAAACAUUUGUAGAUUGGAUUCAGUUGGAAUGAAGUUACAUAUUGUUCCUAUCUGAGCUAAGCAUAUAAUUAGGUACUAUUUAUCAACAAAUUACUAAUUAGCAGAGGGUGAAUGGGGGGUGACGAUGAACAAGUGCUAAAGUGCAACUAUCAUCUUGUUGUGUGAUAUGCAUGUCGUCCCUUCACUAGGUAGCUCACACACUUUAACACUUAUGAUCACUCGUACAACGUCAUUCAACCCUCUUUCUCAUGCCCUUCUUGUUUCUUUCAGUCACCUGCUUAGUUACCAUAGUUUAGGCUCACACACUAGCAACAUCCUUUCGUUUCUUUUAGCCACACACCUUGCAUUUGUCCCUUUAUAUCUCUUGCAUUUGGGUGCCGGCUGGAGCAUGGCGCAGGUCCGGUAACCAACAAACGCUACAUCAAGAGAACCGAGAAAUCAUGCUCUAGCAGGAAGAGCAACCAACCCACCAUGAAGGAUGGCAUGACCUAGGAGAACCACUUGGAGUUGUUCCUUAUCCCAGUGCCAGACAACAGCAGGCACCACCAUCCUCCUUGUCAUGGUAUGGAUGCUUGCCACUUGCUACCCUCGUCCAAUCUCGUUACUUGUGUGACAAGGUUACAAUUCAAGAGUUCAACCUGACUACCCAUACACACGGAAAUAUUGUGCAUCGUACAUGCAACAACAUUAGUGACUGCCUUUCCAAAACUAGAAUGCAAAGGCCACCUUUACUUAGGGCAAGGACUAUGAGUGUCGACAAAAAAGGUGAUGGCUCAUCACUGGUAGGUGGAUAAGAGUCAUGAUAGCCUAGGGAAGAAGUCAGAGUUGAAAGUUGUGUGAAAACUCAUACUGGGAUUGCCAACACGAAGCAGGCCUUGUUGUUAUGGAUCUCUUGAGGAGGCCAAGGCAAGUAUGAGUUGUUGUUAUGGAUCUCUUGAGGCUGCAGAGGCAAGUACGAGUUGGCCGAGCUUAUGUACUACUAGUACUAAAGCUUAUGUAUUCUCUUCUUUCAAGUUUCAUACAGUUCAAUUCCUCUCUUGACGUGUUUGUGUUCGAAGAUGUAUUCCUCUCUCUGGUGUUUGUAUUCGUGAAUCUACAAAUGACAUCUCUCAGUUCAUCGGUUCUCAUUCUAGUAGGUAUAUAUAUAUGUCUUGUUGAAUCAAGAGAUUGGAUCAGUUUGCUCUAACAUCUAAAUGGUAUUGAAAGAGUACUGCAGUGUUUGCGUGUCUUUGACUGAUUAUUAAUGCAUUGGAGUAUAUGAGCACACAAAAAAAUAGCAUCGCAGUUGUUCUCACUCGAUUUGAGAUAAUAGCGCGACCUGUAUGUAUUUAUGGGCAGCUCAUAUCCCAUGGCUGCACUUGGUUCUGAUCAUGGAAACUUUGUUUCCGCAACACAAGUAAUGUGACGACCCAUAUUUGCCUCAUGCUAGUUUUCGACAUGUCCUACCUCAGUCUACGGAAAAGAACGGACUGGAAGGAUAUGGCCAUAGGGUGGGGUUGUUACCAAGCGCAGAUGUUGUGAGUGACCAUGGUAAAUGCAAGCACAUCGGGAGAGAACUAAUUGCCUCAUGUUUGGCUCAUCACACUCUCACCAGGAUGUGAAAACAGCAGUACUGUUCUCCACAGUCCCAUGAAUGAUGAAUCCAUGUAGUACAUGACUAUUUAAAUUAGUGGUGCACGCAUGUAAUGCCAAGUGAAGUAUGGCGAGUCAGGUGGAUGAGUAUGUAAAAAAAAUGCAAAUAUUGAGCAAUUCAUAAUAGACCAACUCGGUAAAUAAAGUACUACAAUUCUACAAAGGUCACAGCAUUGAGAACCCCC